UCGAACGAGAAAUUCCGAUUCGUCGGAAGAGUAAAGUGGCGAACGGGUGAGUAACGCGUGGGUAAUCUGCCCUUGAGUUUGGGACAACUUCGCGAAAGCGGAGCUAAUACCGAAUAAAUCUGACCUUGUUCCGGCAAGAUCAGUAAAAGAAGGCCUCUACGUGUAAGCUGUCGCUUAAGGAUGAGCCCGUGUACCAUUAGCUUGUUGGUAGGGUAAUGGCCUACCAAGGCAGCGAUGGUUAGCUGGUCUGAGAGGAUGAUCAGCCACACUGGAACUGAGAUACGGCCCAGACUCCUACGGGAGGCAGCAGUGGGGGAUCUUGCGCAAUGGGGGAAACCCUGACGCAGCGACGCCGUGUGAGUGAUGAAGGCCUUCGGGUCGUAAAGCUCUGUCAGGUGGGAAGAGAUAUCUCGAUACGAAUAAUAUCGGGGUUUGACGGUACCACCAGAGGAAGCACCGGCUAACUCCGUGCCAGCAGCCGCGGUAAUACGGAGGGUGCAAGCGUUGUUCGGAAUUACUGGGCGUAAAGAGCGUGUAGGCGGUUGAACAAGUCAGAUGUGAAAUCCCUCGGCUCAACCGAGGAAGUGCAUUUGAAACUGUUUAGCUUGAGUACGGGAGAGGAGAGCGGAAUUCCCGGUGUAGAGGUGAAAUUCGUAGAUAUCGGGAGGAACACCAGUGGCGAAGGCGGUUCUCUGGCCCGAUACUGACGCUGAGACGCGAAAGCGUGGGGAGCAAACAGGAUUAGA
This 746-nucleotide ribosomal RNA is filed under the name uncultured bacterium. RNAcentral's name for it is "bacterial SSU rRNA". It matches the Rfam family "Bacterial small subunit ribosomal RNA", at positions 62 to 782 of the family's 1533-position model. The record is from RNAcentral.